GAGGUGGGUGGCACCCAGGCAACAGGCAAGGAGUGUCCAGGUUCCUCUGGUCUACACGUGGUACAGCAGCCUGAAGCCAAUAUGUUCAGCUUAAUGCCCAAGGAUAUGAGAAA
Molecule: long non-coding RNA, 113 nt
Organism: Protopterus annectens (West African lungfish)
Lineage: Eukaryota; Metazoa; Chordata; Ceratodontiformes; Protopteridae
Exons: 3
Source: RefSeq, a predicted model, not a curated record